AGUUGAUCGUGUUUUUUUUCAUUAUCAUCUUCAAAGAAGAGUGUGCGAAACACGAUGCAAAGUGUCGAUAAAGCACACGAAACACGCGAGGUAGAUUUGUCUGCAGCCCCAAGAGGUGUAUGGCUUGUAAAGGUUCCUAAGUAUCUGUCGGAAAGAUGGCAGAAGGCGCAAGGAGGCAGUGAGGUGGGCAAGCUGCGGAUCACACGACCAAAAAGUCCUGGCCUAAAGCCUGAUGUCAUGUUCUCCUCCCACGAAACAAUGAUGAAAGUCGAACCUGGACAAGCACAGGCGCCACGAGACCAUAAGUUUGUUCUCACUGGCGUCGGUGUUCAGAAUCUGGUGGUCAUGUCACAGACACCCAUAUUUGCUAAAGAUGGAAAUGGUGCAACAAAGGAAAAGGUUGCAGAGAGGGUGGCAGUAGAAGGCAAGGUGCUCCAGCGAGCAGAGUGUCGACCUAUCGCUGAUGACAACUACAACAAACUCAAGAGACUUCACUGGGAGAUCCAGAACAAACCCAAGAGGGAGGUGAUCCAGCUUAGCGGAGUGGUCCAGUCCUACAAACCCCGGAGUGCCUACGCUUCCCUGGAUGGCGAUAAACGUAAAAAGGAGGAGAGCAAGAGGUCAAGGUUAGAUCGUGAGAAGGUGCAGGACAUGCUCUUCAAUGCAUUCGAGAAACAUCAGUACUACAACGUCAAGGACCUUGUCAAGAUCACCAACCAACCAGUGCCAUACCUGAAGGAGAUCCUGAAGGAGAUCUGCACGUACAACAUGAAGGCGCCGCAUCGCAACAUGUGGGAGCUGAAACCAGAGUACCGACAUUACAAGGAACAGAACACCUCAUAGCACUAGCUGCUGGACAACGUCCAUAUUUAUGUAACUGACCCUUGGAGAUAUCCUGGGGGUAUAGGCACGACCCCAUGCUUGUCCCAUGGGUACAUUAGGAGGGUGCCAUCUCUGCCCAUGCUUGUCCCAUGGGUACAUUAGGGGGGUGCCAUCUCUGCCAAUGCUUGUCCCAUGGGUACAUUAGGGGAGUGCCAUCUCUGCCAAUGCUUGUCCCAUGGGUACAUUAGGGGAGUGCCAUCUCUGCCCAUGCUUGUCCCAUGGGUACAUUAGGAGUGCCAUCUCUGCCCAUGCUUGUCCCAUGGGUACAUUAGGGGGGUGCCAUCUCUGCCCAUGCUUGUCCCAUGGGUACAUUAUAGGAGUGCCAUCUCUGCCAAUGCUUGUCCCAUGGGUACAUUAGGGGUGCUAUCUCCGCCCAUGCUUGUCCCAUGGGUACAUUAGGGGAGUGCAAUCUCUGCCCAUGCUUGUCCCAAGGGUACAUUAGGGGGGGAUGCCAUCUCUGCCCAUGCUUGUCCCAUGGGUACAUUAGGGGGGGGGGUCGUCUCUGCCCAUGCUUGUCCCAUGGGUACAUUGGGGGAGUGCCAUCUCUGCCCAUGCUUGUCCCAUGGGUACAUUAGGGGAGUGCCAUCUCUGCCCAUGGCUGUCCCAUGGGUACAUUAGGGGGGUGCCAUCUGUGCCCAUGCUUGUCCCAUGGGUACAUUAGGAGUGCCACCUCUGCCCAUGGGUACAUAAGGGGUGCCAUCUGUGCCCAUGCUUGUCCCAUGGGUACAUUAGGAGUGCCAUCUCUGCCCAUGGGUACAUAAGGGGUGCCAUCUCUGCGCAUGCUUGUCCCACGGGUACAUAAGCGCUGUCAUCUCUGCCCAUGCUUGUCCCAAGGGUACAUUAGGUAGCUGCCAUCUCUGCCCAUGCUUGUCCCAAGGGUACAUUAGGGGAGUGCCAUCUCUGCCCAUGCUUGUCCCAUGGGGACAUUAGGGGUGCCAUCAACUCCCAUGCUUGUCCCAUGGGUACAUUAGGGGCUGUGACAUCUCUGCCCAUGCUUGUCCCAUGGGGACAUUAGGAGUGCCAUCUCUGCCCAUGGGUACAUAAGGGGUGCUAUCUCUGCCCAUGCUUGUCCAAUGGGUACAUUAGGGGAGUGCCAUCUCUGCCCAUGCUUGUCCCAAGGGUACAUUAGGGGAGUGCCAUCUCUGCCCAUGGGUACAUUAGGGGGGUGCCAUCUGUGCCCAUGCUUGUCCCAUGGGUACAUUAGGGGACUGCCAUCUGUGCCCAUGCUUGUCCCAUGGGUACAUUAGGAGUGCCAUCUCUGCCCAUGCUUGUCCCAUGGGUACAUUAGGAGUGCCAUCUCUGCCCAUGCUUGUCCCAAGGGUACAUUAGGGGACUGCCAUCUCUGCCCAUGCUUGUCCCAUGGGUACAUUAGGAGUGUCAUCUCUGCCCAUGCUUGUCCCAUGGGUACAUAAGGAGUGCCAUCUCUGCCCAUGCUUGUCCCACGGGUACAUAAGCGCUGUCAUCUCUGCCCAUGCUUGUCCCAUGGGUACAUUAGGUGGCUGCCAUCUCUGCCCAUGCUUGUCCCAUGGGUACAUUAGGGGGGUGCCAUCUCUGCCCAUGCUUGUCCCAUGGGUACAUUAGGGGAGUGCCAUCUCUGCCCAUGCUUGUCCCAUGGGUACAUUAGGGGAGUGCCAUCUCUGCCCAUGCUUGUCCCAUGGGUACAUUAGGGGAGUGCCAUCUCUGCCCAUGCUUGUCCCAUGGGUACAUUAGGGGAGUGCCAUCUCUGCCCAUGCUUGUCCCAUGGGUACAUUAGGGGAGUGCCAUCUCUGCCCAUGCUUGUCCCAUGGGUACAUUAGGGGAGUGCCAUCUCUGCCCAUGCUUGUCCCAUGGGUACAUUAGGGGAGUGCCAUCUCUGCCCAUGCUUGUCCCAUGGGUACAUUAGGGGAGUGCCAUCUCUGCCCAUGCUUGUCCCAUGGGUACAUUAGGGGAGUGCCAUCUCUGCCCAUGCUUGUCCCAUGGGUACAUUAGGGGGGUGCCAUCUCUGCCAAUGCUUGUCCCAUGGGUACAUUAGGGGAGUGCCAUCUCUGCCCAUGCUUGUCCCAUGGGUACACUAGGGGGGUGCCAUCUCUGCCCAUGCUUGUCCCAUGGGUACAUUAGGGGAGUGCCAUCUCUGCCCAUGCUUGUCCCACGGGUAUAUUAGGGGAGUGCCAUCUCUGCCCAUGCUUGUCCCAUGGGUACAUUAGGGGGAUGCCAUCUCUGCCCAUGCUUGUCCCAUGGGUACAUUAGGGGAGUGCCAUCUCUGCCCAUGCUUGUCCCAUGGGUACAUUAGGAGUGCCAUCUCUGCCCAUGCUUGUCCCACGGGUACAUAAGCGCUGUCAUCUCUGCCCAUGCUUGUCCCACGGGUACAUAAGCGCUGUCAUCUCUGCCCAUGCUUGUCCCAUGGGUACAUUAGGGGUGUGCCAUCUCUGCCCAUGCUUGUCCCAUGGGUACAUAAGGAGUGCCAUCUCCGCCCAUGCUUGUCCCAUGGGUACAUUAGGAGUGCCAUCUCUGCCCAUGCUUGUCCCAUGGGUACAUUAGGGGAGUGCCAUCUCUGCCCAUGCUUGUCCCAUGGGUACAUUAGGGGAGUGCCAUCUCUGCCCAUGCUUGUCCCAUGGGUACAUUAGGGGAGUGCCAUCUCUGCCCAUGCUUGUCCCAUGGGUACAUUAGGGGAGUGCCAUCUCUGCCCAUGCUUGUCCCAUGGGUACAUUAGGGGAGUGCCAUCUCUGCCCAUGCUUGUCCCAUGGGUACAUUAGGGGAGUGCCAUCUCUGCCCAUGCUUGUCCCAUGGGUACAUUAGGGGAGUGCCAUCUCUGCCCAUGCUUGUCCCAUGGGUACAUUAGGGGAGUGCCAUCUCUGCCCAUGCUUGUCCCAUGGGUACAUUAGGGGGGUGCCAUCUCUGCCAAUGCUUGUCCCAUGGGUACAUUAGGGGAGUGCCAUCUCUGCCCAUGCUUGUCCCAUGGGUACACUAGGGGGGUGCCAUCUCUGCCCAUGCUUGUCCCAUGGGUACAUUAGGGGAGUGCCAUCUCUGCCCAUGCUUGUCCCACGGGUAUAUUAGGGGAGUGCCAUCUCUGCCCAUGCUUGUCCCAUGGGUACAUUAGGGGGAUGCCAUCUCUGCCCAUGCUUGUCCCAUGGGUACAUUAGGGGAGUGCCAUCUCUGCCCAUGCUUGUCCCAUGGGUACAUUAGGAGUGCCAUCUCUGCCCAUGCUUGUCCCACGGGUACAUAAGCGCUGUCAUCUCUGCCCAUGCUUGUCCCACGGGUACAUAAGCGCUGUCAUCUCUGCCCAUGCUUGUCCCAUGGGUACAUUAGGGUUGUGCCAUCUCUGCCCAUGCUUGUCCCAUGGGUACAUAAGGAGUGCCAUCUCUGCCCAUGCUUGUCCCAUGGGUACAUUAGGAGUGCCAUCUCUGCCCAUGCUUGUCCCACGGGUACAUAAGCGCUGUCAUCUCUGCCCAUGCUUGUCCCAUGGGUACAUAAGGGGUGCCAUCUCUGCCCAUGCUUGUCCCAUGGGUACAUUAGGGGAGUGCCAUCUCUGCCCAUGCUUGUCCCAUGGGUACAUUAGGGGAGUGCCAUCUCUGCCCAUGCUUGUCCCAUGGGUACAUUAGGGGAGUGCCAUCUCUGCCCAUGCUUGUCCCAUGGGUACAUUAGGGGAGUGCCAUCUCUGCCCAUGCUUGUCCCAUGGGUACAUUAGGGGGAUGCCAUCUCUGCCCAUGCUUGUCCCAUGGUUACAUUAGGGCUGCCAUCUCUGCCCAUGCUUGUCCCAUGGGUACAUUAGGGGAGUGCCAUCUCUGCCCAUGCUUGUCCCAUGGGUACAUUAGGGGAGUGCCAUCUCUGCCCAUGCUUGUCCCAUGGGUACAUUAGGGGGAUGCCAUCUCUGCCCAUGCUUGUCCCAUGGGUACAUUAGGGCUGCCAUCUCUGCCCAUGCUUGUCCCAUGGGUACAUUAGGGAUGCCAUCUUCGCCCAUGCUUGUCCCAUGGGUACAUUAGGGGGGUGCCAAUUCUUUCCAUGCUUGCCCAAAUGGGGAUUCAAGGGUAGAAUAGGUGCCCAAUGUGUGUGCUAUAAGUUCUUUUUCUGCUUUGACACUGUUGGUUGCAUGUAUCAUUGUACAGACUGUCAACCACUGCUUACCCUUUUGAUCUCGGUGGCCAAGUGAUCUUAGGUGCUGAGGUCAAUGUGCAGAGUUGCCUCCCUUACACAUGACAGGAACCUAUGAUCGUGGGUUUGAAUCUCAACUCGAUCUCAUUGUGGUUGCAGCAUAUGAAUUCAACAUGUUCAACCCGCAGGAUGUUUUUAUGGCAAAUAGUUUAAAUCAAAUAAAGUAAUAAAAUUAGACAAGUGAACAAUUACAGAAAUAGAGAAUCUCACCCAAGUGUUUUUUCAUAUCAAAUAUAUCAACACCAGUUGAUAAAAGUGGGAAAACUCUGAGGCUUGCCGAGGAUUUUUUCCACUUU
Molecule: unclassified non-coding RNA, 5306 nt
Filed under: Haliotis rufescens (red abalone)
Lineage: Eukaryota; Metazoa; Mollusca; Gastropoda; Lepetellida; Haliotidae
Description: general transcription factor IIF subunit 2-like, transcript variant X2
Source: RNAcentral